GGCGGCAGGCCUAACACAUGCAAGUCGAGCGCGCCCUUCGGGGUGAGCGGCGGACGGGUUAGUAACGCGUGGGAACGUACCCUUUGGUAGGGAAUAGCCACUGGAAACGGUGAGUAAUACCCUAUGAGCCCUUCGGGGGAAAGAUUUAUCGCCAAAGGAUCGGCCCGCGUUAGAUUAGGUAGUUGGUGGGGUAAUGGCCUACCAAGCCUACGAUCUAUAGCUGGUUUUAGAGGAUGAUCAGCAACACUGGGACUGAGACACGGCCCGGACUCCUACGGGAGGCAGCAGUGGGGAAUCUUGGACAAUGGGGGCAACCCUGAAUCCAGCCAUGCCGCGUGAGUGAAGAAGGCCUUAGGGUCGUAAAGCUCUUUCGCCUGUGAAGAUAAUGACGGUAGCAGGUAAAGAAACCCCGGCUAACUCCGUGCCAGCCGCCGC
Molecule: ribosomal RNA, 435 nt
Filed under: uncultured bacterium
Lineage: Bacteria
Description: bacterial SSU rRNA
Rfam family: Bacterial small subunit ribosomal RNA
Source: RNAcentral